GCCUUCACUAUUGUCCAGUCGGUGGAGCAUGAGACUCUUAAUCUCAGGAUUGUGGGCUUGAGCCCCACAUUGGGCA
RNAcentral lists this transfer RNA (76 nucleotides) under Podarcis lilfordi (Lilford's wall lizard). RNAcentral's name for it is "tRNA.Lys". Lineage: Eukaryota; Metazoa; Chordata; Lepidosauria; Squamata; Lacertidae. The record is from RNAcentral.